UGAUUAAGUUAUUAAGGGCGCACGGUGGAUGCCUUGGCACUAGAAGCUGAUGAAGGACGUUACUAACGACGAUAUGCUUUGGGUAGCUGUAAGUAAGCGUUGAUCCAGAGAUUUCCGAAUGGGGGAACCCAGCACAAGUUAUGUUGUGUUAUCGACAUGUGAAUACAUAGCAUGUCUGAAGGCAGACGCGGAGAACUGAAACAUCUUAGUACCCGCAGGAAGAGAAAGAAAACUCGAUUCCCUGAGUAGCGGCGAGCGAAACGGGAAGAGCCCAAACCAAUGAGCUUGCUCAUUGGGGUUGUAGGACACUCUGCAUGGAGUUACAAAAGAAUCGAUUAGACGAACCGUACUGGAAAGUUGGACCAGAGAAGGUAAAAGUCCUGUAGUCGAAAGUCGAUUCUCUCCUGAGUGGAUCCUGAGUACGACGGAGCACGUGGAAUUCCGUCGGAAUCCGGGAGGACCAUCUCCCAAGGCUAAAUACUCUCUAGUGACCGAUAGUGAACCAGUACCGUGAGGGAAAGGUGAAAAGUACCCCGGAAGGGGAGUGAAAGAGAACUUGAAACCGUGUGCUUACAAGUAGUCAGAGCCCGUUAAUGGGUGAUGGCGUGCCUUUUGUAGAAUGAACCGGCGAGUUACGAUCUGAUGCAAGGUUAAGCAGCGAAUGCGGAGCCGCAGCGAAAGCGAGUCUGAACAGGGCGUUGAGUAUUUGGUCGUAGACCCGAAACCAGGUGAUCUACCCUUGGUCAGGUUGAAGUUCAGGUAACACUGAAUGGAGGACCGAACCGACUUACGUUGAAAAGUGAGCGGAUGAACUGAGGGUAGCGGAGAAAUUCCAAUCGAACCUGGAGAUAGCUGGUUCUCUCCGAAAUAGCUUUAGGGCUAGCCUCAAGUGAUGAUUGUUGGAGGUAGAGCACUGUUUGGACGAGGGGCCCUUCUCGGGUUACCGAAUUCAGACAAACUCCGAAUGCCAAUCAAUUUAACUUGGGAGUCAGAACGUGGGUGAUAAGGUCCAUGUUCGAAAGGGAAACAGCCCAGACCACCAGCUAAGGUCCCAAAAUAUAUGUUAAGUGGCAAAGGAUGUGGUAUUGCCCAGACAACUAGGAUGUUGGCUUAGAAGCAGCCAUCAUUUAAAGAGUGCGUAAUAGCUCACUAGUCGAGUGACACUGCGCCGAAAAUGUACCGGGGCUAAACAUAUUACCGAAGCUGUGGACUGUCCUUCGGACAGUGGUAGGAGAGCGUUCUAAGGGCGUCGAAGCAUGAUCGCAAGGACAUGUGGAGCGCUUAGAAGUGAGAAUGCCGGUGUGAGUAGCGAAAGAUGGGUGAGAAUCCCAUCCACCGAUUGACUAAGGUUUCCAGAGGAAGGCUCGUCCGCUCUGGGUUAGUCGGGUCCUAAGCCGAGGCCGACAGGCGUAGGCGAUGGAUAACAGGUUGAUAUUCCUGUACCGCCAAUGAUCGUUUUAAGCGAUGGGGGGACACAGUAGGAUAGGCGAAGCGUGCUGUUGGAGUGCACGUCCAAGCAGUAAGACUGAAUGGUAGGCAAAUCCGCCAUUCUCAAGGUCAAGCUGUGAUGGGGAGAGGAAACAUGUUUUCCUCGAGUCGUUGAUUUCACACUGUCGAGAAAAGCCUCUAGCUAGAGAUUUGGCGCCCGUACCGCAAACCGACACAGGUAGUCAAGAUGAGAAUUCUAAGGUGAGCGAGAGAACUCUCGUUAAGGAACUCGGCAAAAUGACCCCGUAACUUCGGGAGAAGGGGUGCUCUUUAGGGUUCACGCUCUGAAGAGCCGCAGUGAAUAGGCCCAAGCGACUGUUUAUCAAAAACACAGGUCUCUGCUAAACCGUAAGGUGAUGUAUAGGGGCUGACGCCUGCCCGGUGCUGGAAGGUUAAGAGGAGUGGUUAGCUUCUGCGAAGCUACGAAUCGAAGCCCCAGUAAACGGCGGCCGUAACUAUAACGGUCCUAAGGUAGCGAAAUUCCUUGUCGGGUAAGUUCCGACCCGCACGAAAGGCGUAACGAUUUGGGCACUGUCUCAACGAGAGACUCGGUGAAAUCAUAGUACCUGUGAAGAUGCAGGUUACCCGCGACAGGACGGAAAGACCCCGUGGAGCUUUACUGUAGCCUGAUAUUGAAAUUCGGCACAGCUUGUACAGGAUAGGUAGGAGCCUUAGAAACGUGAGCGCCAGCUUACGUGGAGGCGUUGGUGGGAUACUACCCUAGCUGUGUUGG
RNAcentral lists this ribosomal RNA (2221 nucleotides) under Staphylococcus sp. HMSC065E08. RNAcentral's name for it is "bacterial LSU rRNA". It matches the Rfam family "Bacterial large subunit ribosomal RNA", at positions 1 to 2217 of the family's 2925-position model. Lineage: Bacteria; Bacillati; Bacillota; Bacilli; Caryophanales; Staphylococcaceae. The record is from RNAcentral.